RNAcentral lists this long non-coding RNA (568 nucleotides) under Phoenix dactylifera (date palm). Its description in RNAcentral is "long non-coding RNA (PDAC_LNC015044)". Lineage: Eukaryota; Viridiplantae; Streptophyta; Magnoliopsida; Arecales; Arecaceae. The record is from RNAcentral.
AAAAGACGGCCACCAGGGGACCGACGACCGACGACCGCGCACCAAUGACGGAACCCGCGGUCCCAACACCAUUGGUGAGAUAGUCGAACCUGAUCCCUCGCUUCAUUGGCUCGUGUUUCCCCUGGACGGUGGAGGAGGCGGUGACCGGAUCUUUCUCCCGUACAGCCCGAAGUCAAGUCCUUUUAUUUCCCGGAUUCCACCCUCCGAUCGCCAUCUUUAUUAUUUCUAAAGCUCGAACUCUCCUUCCUUCCUUCCUUCCUUCCUUUCCUACUCUACCCCUCGCCCCCCAGAUUUCUCUUCUCUGGUGUUCGACAGUGGAGAUCUGAUGGAGGGAUCACCGGAUCAACGGCCGUCCCUCUUCUCCCCAUACCAGAUGGGCCGCUUCCGCCUCUCCCAUAGGUCAGCUCAUCUCUCCUCUCUUUUUAGAGUAACAGCGAGGGAAAAUAACAAAUUUAUUGGAUUGACGGAAUUGCCCAUAUAUCUCGACGAAUUUACUUUUACUAAAGCUAACUUUUGAGUGGGCUUUUGAGAUAUACUGGGGCUAAGCUUGUAAAGUUAGUGGAGUUUU